Molecule: long non-coding RNA, 1730 nt
Organism: Rhinopithecus bieti (black snub-nosed monkey)
Lineage: Eukaryota; Metazoa; Chordata; Mammalia; Primates; Cercopithecidae
Source: Ensembl
CGUCCACAGUCAUGCAGGAUGCACCACGGCGCCCAGACCCAGCUUCCUGACCCAGCCCUGCCCCUUCCUAGCUCAGGCCAGGGCCCAGGAGACCCCUCCACAUCCCUCACCCCACCCUACCCCGUCACUUCCCUUCCACCCCCACCCCUUCACUGCCUCCCGUCCCCUCACCUCCCUCCCGCCCCCACCCCCUCACCUCCCUCUCACCCCCUCACCUUCUCCCACCCCCUCCUCUCCCUCCCACUCCCUCCCUUCCUACUCCCCUGCACCCCUCCAUGUCUGGCCCCUGGGAGGGUGACUCUGUCCUCAGUGUCCUGUCUGCCUCCACUGAUGUCUGCUGACUGCCAUUCACUCCAGGCUCAGCCUUCUCAGCCCCCUGGGCAGGACGCUGCCUCCUCCCGUCACUGCCGGACUCCCCAGGCGGAGUGCGUGGGUUUCUCACCUGGAGCUGCUGAGCCCCACCUGUGUGGGGUCCUGGGGCUGCCCCAGUCCUCACAGCAGGCUCAGCUCACGGUCCCCCCAGGCCAAGGUGUUGGUCGAAUUCCUUCAAAUCUUAGGGGAGAUUCGCAGGAAACAAGAGCGCGUCUGGACCCCAGGUCGAAACGGGCCAGGAGCAGCCAGGUGGCCGUGUGGCCCCACAUCCAGCCGCAGGCCAGUGGCAGGGCAGACCUUGGCUCUCAGAGAGCAUCUUGAGCCUGGACAGAGCCUUAUAAGGCGCUCCUGGGGCCAUGACACACACUCCAAGAAUAGCCUCCAGGCUUUGUCUUCUGACGGGCUGGCGCCAGGGUCCUGCAGAGAGUGCCCGGCAGCCAACCAGGGGCCAGUCAGGCACAUGCACACCAGCCUCCUUCCUGCCAACCCACUGGGCUGGGGUUUCCCGGGGCUGCGGGAAGGGAAGUGGAGGAAGGACGCAGCCCCGCGGCUGGCAGGUGCAGGCCUGGGCUCUCAUCCUGGUGCUGACCCCACCUGGUCAGGCAAUGCCCACACGGGACCAGACUAGGACCCUUAACCUUUUCUACUGCAUCUUGCUGGCCGGCGGGCAAAGCCUCUGUGCUCAUGGAAUGCCGUUUAAAAAUGCGUCAUGUAACAUACAGGACCCUCACCCAACCAUACUGCCAUGCGGCAAUAAAACAUUUUAACUGUGUUGAUGGCAUACAUGUGAAUCGAGUCUGGCUGCCACCACUGUCCUCUCCAUCCAGCUUCACAAGUGGCCGAGCCCCUGCAGGAAGGGCCAGCCGCAGGGCGUCUCUGGGCAUUGCCAACCAGCCAUCUGGCGGGUUCCCCGCGGAGUCAGGGCCAUUCCUCGGGCCUGUCCACCUGACCUGCUGCCUGCACACAGGCCUCACACCCUCACUCACACUCACACAUGCUCCAUCCCGACUCCAGCAGCCCUUCCCCCUCGGGGCCCAGGUGCCUCUUCCUGUCUCCCUCAUGCCUGAGGAGGGACCAGCAUCUGGUGCCCUUUGACCUUGGCCUGGUUCUGAAGUGAAUCACCCGGAAGGAAGGCGCUUGUCCUCCCGGACCCAGGUCUGCAACAGUUAUGACCACGCCCAUCCCAGUGGCCCUGCCAGACAGCAGGGCGGCCAGUCCACCUCCACGUAAUGGGCCCCAAUCCUGGAGCACAGCCUAGGAGAACUGCCAGGCUCCCAGAGCACGGCCUGCAGAGCAGAUAGACACAGGGCCAGGGCAGGAAGGGGCAGGAUGGGAGUGGGGGCAGAAGAGGCCAGAGC